This 599-nucleotide ribosomal RNA is filed under the name uncultured bacterium. RNAcentral describes it as "bacterial SSU rRNA". The stretch from base 1 to 533 matches the Rfam family "Bacterial small subunit ribosomal RNA", at positions 338 to 873 of the family's 1533-position model. The record is from RNAcentral.
CCUACGGGAGGCAGCAGUGGGGAAUUUUGGACAAUGGGCGCAAGCCUGAUCCAGCCAUGCCGCGUGCAGGAUGAAGGCCUUCGGGUUGUAAACUGCUUUUGUACGGAACGAAAAGGUCUUUUUUAAUAAAGAGGGCCCAUGACGGUACCGUAAGAAUAAGCACCGGCUAACUACGUGCCAGCAGCCGCGGUAAUACGUAGGGUGCAAGCGUUAAUCGGAAUUACUGGGCGUAAAGCGUGCGCAGGCGGUAAUGUAAGCAGAUGUGAAAUCCCCGGGCUCAACCUGGGAACUGCAUUUGUGACUGCAUUGCUGGAGUGCGGCAGAGGGGGAUGGAAUUCCGCGUGUAGCAGUGAAAUGCGUAGAUAUGCGGAGGAACACCGAUGGCGAAGGCAAUCCCCUGGGCCUGCACUGACGCUCAUGCACGAAAGCGUGGGGAGCAAACAGGAUUAGAUACCCUGGUAGUCCAGCCCUAAACGAUGUNACUGUUGUUGGUGUCUAUNUAUCAGUAAGAAGANACGCGUGAGUGACGCGNGGAGACGCGCGAGUAGAAGUACGAAGAAGUAGAGCGNGAGAGAGCGAGGAGACGACGAGGGAGGAGG